This 1374-nucleotide unclassified non-coding RNA is filed under the name uncultured Neocallimastigales. RNAcentral's name for it is "partial contains small subunit ribosomal RNA, internal transcribed spacer 1, 5.8S ribosomal RNA, internal transcribed spacer 2, and large subunit ribosomal RNA". The stretch from base 614 to 1374 matches the Rfam family "Eukaryotic large subunit ribosomal RNA", at positions 1 to 628 of the family's 3401-position model. The record is from RNAcentral. Lineage: Eukaryota; Fungi; Neocallimastigomycota; Neocallimastigomycetes; Neocallimastigales.
UUUCCGUAGGUGAACCUGCGGAAGGAUCAUUAAUAAAUGGUCUACGUUUUUUAAGUAGACGCUUAAUAAUCUACCCUUUGUGAAUUUGUUGUUUGAAAUAAUUUUUUUAAAAUUAUUGAAUGCUUCCCUGUUGAAUUGGUUGUCUUUAAUGGCAAGUGAUUCGCAGGGGAGUGUCAAUAAUUUUAAAAGACCUUUUUUAAAAUUAAACUUUUUGUAUUCAUUUGUCUAAAAUUAUUUUUAUAAUAUAAAAACAACUUUUGACAAUGGAUCUCUUGGUUCUCGCAACGAUGAAGAACGCAGCAAAAUGCGAUAAGUAGUGUGAAUUGCAGAAUACGUGAAUCAUCGAAUCUUCGAACGCAUAUUGCACUUUUUUAGUUUACUAAAAAAGUAUGUCUGUUUGAGUAUCAGUAAAAUAUUCUCAUAAAAAACAUUGUUUUUUAUGGUUAAGAGUGUUUUACAACGAUACAAGUUGUUUCACUUUAAAUUUUUUAAAUUUGAAUUUUUCUAAUUUUAAAAUAAAAUUGGAUAAAUUUUCCCGUAAAAAGGAAUAACCUAAACAAUUUUAAUUUUGAUUAGAAAAUCCAAACUAAAAGGAAAAUUUAACUAAAUAACUUGAUCUCAAAUCAGAUAAGAGUACCCGCUGAACUUAAGCAUAUCAAUAAGCGGAGGAAAAGAACUAACAAGGAUUCCUUAGUAACGGCGAGUGAAGCGGAAGAGCUCAAAUUUGAAAUCUUCAAGGUUUUACCUUGACGAAUUGUAGUUUAAAGAAGUGUUUUCUGUUGAAGUUUUGGUAAAAGUUCUUUGAAUAGGACAUCAUAGAGGGUGAGAAUCCGUAUUUGACCAUUAUUUUCAGCUGUGUGAUACACUUUCAAAGAGUCGGAUUGUUUGGGAAUGCAGUCCAAAAUGGUGGUAAAUUUCAUCUAAAGCUAAAUAUUGGCGAGAGACCGAUAGCGAACAAGUACCGUGAGGGAAAGAUGAAAAGAACUUUGAAAAGAGAGUUAAACAGUACGUGAAAUUGUCAAAAGGGAAGCGUUUGACACCAGUGUUGUUUUCUCGAAAAUCAAUUAAAAAAGUUGGAUUUUGUGUUGUAUUGACCUUAACAGCUUGCUUCACUCUUUCCUGCUUUUUUAAUGCACUUUUCGUUUAACAAGUCAACAUCAGUUCUUUUGUUGUAAAAGGGUCAUUGGAAGGUGGCUUUCUCUUCGGAGAAAGUGUUUAUAGCCUUUGAUCUCUGCAAUCGGAGAGACUGAGGUCUGCAGCGUAGAUCCUUCGGGUUAGAUACAUUUGUGCUAAGCUACAGCUUUUCAUAGACAACUUGUGCUAUGUUUAGUCUUGUGACUUACCGCUUAUGCUAUUUUACCUACGCUUAGGAUG